GACGAACGCUGGCGGCGUGCUUAACACAUGCAAGUCGAACGGAACGUCCCUGCUUUUUUGCGCUGCUCGGGUUGCGAACGGGUAAGUAACCCGUAAGUAACCUGCAAUUGACUUUGGGAUGACUUAAGGCAUCUGGGUCUAAUACCAGAUAGGAUCUCCUGCUGCUUGGUGGGGGCUGGUAAGUUUCGGCGGUUGGGGAUGGACUCGCGUCUUAUCAGAUUGUUGGUGGGGUAGUGUCUUACCAAGGCUUUGACGGGUAGCCGGCCUGAAAGGGUGACAGGACACACUGGGACUGAGAUGCGGCCCAGACUACUACGGGAGGGAGGAGUGGAGAAUAUUGCACAAUGGGCGGAAGGAUGAUGUAGCAACGCCGCGUGCGGGAUGACAGCCUGCGGGUUGUAAUCCGCUUCCGCCUGUGACGAAGCGUGAGUGACGGUAAUGGGUAAAGAAGCACCGGCUAACUACGUG
Molecule: ribosomal RNA, 468 nt
Filed under: uncultured bacterium
Lineage: Bacteria
Description: partial 16S ribosomal RNA
Rfam family: Bacterial small subunit ribosomal RNA
Source: RNAcentral